ACAUGCAGUCGACGGCAGCACGGGUAGCAAUACCUGGUGGCGAGUGGCGCACGGGUGCGUAACGCGUAUGCAACCUACCUUUAACUGGAGAAUAGCCCCGAGAAAUCGGGAUUAAUGUUCCAUAACAUUAUGAGAUGGCAUCAUCUUAUAAUUAAAGCUCCGGCGGUUAUUGAUGGGCAUGCGUGACAUUAGUUUGUUGGUGAGGUAACGGCUCACCAAGACUACGAUGUCUAGGGGUUCUGAGAGGAUUUUCCCCCACACUGGUACUGAGACACGGACCAAACUCCUACGGGAGGCAGCAGUAAGGAAUAUUGGGCAAUGGACGCAAGUCUGACCCAGCCAUGCCGCGUGCAGGAUGACAGCCCUACGGGUUGUAAACUGCUUUUGUACGGGAAAAAUUCCCUGGUCGUGUACCGGGGUUGAUGGUACCGUAAGAAUAAGCAUCGGCUAACUCCGUGCCAGCAGCCGCGGUAAUACGGAGGAUGCAAGCGUUAUCCGGAUUCAUUGGGUUUAAAGGGUGCGCAGGCGGAAUGAUAAGUCAGUGGUGAAAUCCUACGGCUCAACUGUAGAACUGCCAUUGAUACUGUUGUUCUUGAGUACAUUUGUAGUGGGCGGAAUGUGUCAUGUAGCGGUGAAAUGCUUAGAGAUGACACAGAACACCGAUCGCGAAGGCAGCUCACUAAACUGUAACUGACGCUCACGCACGAAAGCGUGGGGAUCAAACAGGAUUAGAUACCCUGGUAGUCCACGCUGUAAACGAUGAUCACUCGAUGUUGGGCGAUACACUGUCAGCGUCCAAGCGAAAGCAUUAAGUGAUCCACCUGGGGAGUACGGCCGCAAGGUUGAAACUCAAGGAAUUGACGGGG
RNAcentral lists this ribosomal RNA (866 nucleotides) under uncultured bacterium. Its description in RNAcentral is "bacterial SSU rRNA". It matches the Rfam family "Bacterial small subunit ribosomal RNA", at positions 53 to 918 of the family's 1533-position model. The record is from RNAcentral.